GAGAAGUGUUAGUUUCCUAUGAAUGUGUCUUUUCUCGCUUGCUCCCCUUUCUUUUUUUGUGGUCCUGGGGCUAAAUCCAGGAACUUGCAGGAGGAAGGCAAGUGCUCUGCUGCUGAGCCCCAGCCCCCACUUGAGUGUACCUAUUUUUUAUUUCUAGGCAAAGGAAACCAACAGCAAGCAGAAAGAAUUCGAGGAAAAUGCCAGGAAAGUCCGGCAAGCUAUGGAGCAGCUGGCUGCCUUAGAGUGAACCUGCCGUGGUCACCUGGUCCCAGGCCUGUCCCCCGUGUUACUGCCUGUCUGUGGAACUCCUACGGGUACCUUAGGAAAGGAGAAUGCUUUCCUAAGGUACUUGUAGGAAUUUUGAAAUUGGACGUUUAGACUGAGUUUUGUUUCUCCUGAAGUGGCAUCAGCGCCUCUCUGCUUGUGUGGCGGUGCUGCCUGUGACAGUAGCUGUGCCUCUCCCUCAUAGGUGGCUCUUGCUCUGUUGAGCCCUGGCUUGGAGGCAAGAGUGGGGAGGAAGAGGGCAGAGUCCCUGUGACUAGACCUGAUGGGCAGCGGAGGAGGGCAGAUGCCUGCACAGGAGUUGCUGAUCUUGGUGUUCCCAAUAACCUGUGAGCCGCUGGCUGCUCGUAACUCUCCUGUCUUUCUGAUGUGACUCCUCCUACAGGGUGAUGGAAUAAAUUAAUUUUUA
This 691-nucleotide long non-coding RNA is filed under the name Marmota monax (woodchuck). The record is from RNAcentral. Lineage: Eukaryota; Metazoa; Chordata; Mammalia; Rodentia; Sciuridae.